This 69-nucleotide transfer RNA is filed under the name Ictidomys tridecemlineatus (thirteen-lined ground squirrel). RNAcentral's name for it is "Spermophilus tridecemlineatus (thirteen-lined ground squirrel) tRNA". It matches the Rfam family "tRNA". From Rfam's summary of the family: Transfer RNA (tRNA) molecules are approximately 80 nucleotides in length. Their secondary structure includes four short double-helical elements and three loops (D, anti-codon, and T loops). Further hydrogen bonds mediate the characteristic L-shaped molecular structure. tRNAs have two regions of fundamental functional importance: the anti-codon, which is responsible for specific mRNA codon recognition, and the 3' end, to which the tRNAs corresponding amino acid is attached (by aminoacyl-tRNA synthetases). tRNAs cope with the degeneracy of the genetic code in two manners: having more than one tRNA (with a specific anti-codon) for a particular amino acid; and 'wobble' base-pairing, i.e. permitting non-standard base-pairing at the 3rd anti-codon position. Lineage: Eukaryota; Metazoa; Chordata; Mammalia; Rodentia; Sciuridae. The record is from Rfam by way of RNAcentral.
GGAGUUGUAGCUCAAUGGUAGAGCACUUGCUUAGCAUGUGUGAGGUACUGGGUUCGAUUCUCAGCACCA